AUUGAACGCUGGCGGCAUGCCUUACACAUGCAAGUCGAACGGUAACGGGCCUUCGGGUGCCGACGAGUGGCGAACGGGUGAGUAAUGCAUCGGAACGUACCUGUCAGUGGGGGAUAACGUAGCGAAAGUUACGCGAAUACCGCAUAUUCUGUGAGCAGGAAAGCAGGGGAACGCAAGACCUUGCGCUGAUUGGGCGGCCGAUGUCAGAUUAGCUAGUUGGUGAGGUAAAGGCUCACCAAGGCGACGAUCUGUAGCGGGUCUGAGAGGAUGAUCCGCCACACUGGAACUGAGACACGGUCCAGACUCCUACGGGAGGCAGCAGUGGGGAAUUUUGGACAAUGGGGGCAACCCUGAUCCAGCCAUGCCGCGUGAGUGAAGAAGGCCUUCGGGUUGUAAAGCUCUUUCGGUCGGGAAGAAAUCGCAUGGGUUAAUACCCUGUGCGGAUGACGGUACCGGCAUAAGAAGCACCGGCUAACUACGUGCCAGCCGCCGCCGUAA
Molecule: ribosomal RNA, 498 nt
Filed under: uncultured bacterium
Lineage: Bacteria
Description: partial 16S ribosomal RNA
Rfam family: Bacterial small subunit ribosomal RNA
Source: RNAcentral